UACUCCUACGGGAGGCAGCAGUGAGGAAUAUUGGUCAAUGGGCGAGAGCCUGAACCAGCCAAGUAGCGUGCAGGAAGACGGCCCUAUGGGUUGUAAACUGCUUUUAUAGGGGAAUAAAGUGAGCCACGUGUGGCUUUUUGCAUGUACCCUAUGAAUAAGGACCGGCUAAUUCCGUGCCAGCGAGCCGCGGUAAUA
RNAcentral lists this ribosomal RNA (195 nucleotides) under uncultured bacterium. RNAcentral's name for it is "partial 16S ribosomal RNA". It matches the Rfam family "Bacterial small subunit ribosomal RNA", at positions 334 to 525 of the family's 1533-position model. The record is from RNAcentral.